CGCCGCGUUCGUGGUGAUUUGCCGGCCGGCUUGCAGCCACGUAAAACAAGUCGCUAAAGGCCGUUUCGCCUCACCC
This 76-nucleotide non-coding RNA is filed under the name Aureimonas sp. Leaf324. Its description in RNAcentral is "Alpha-proteobacteria SAM riboswitch aptamer". It matches the Rfam family "Alpha-proteobacteria SAM riboswitch aptamer". From Rfam's summary of the family: This family is a riboswitch found predominantly in alpha-proteobacteria that binds S-adenosyl methionine (SAM). This SAM riboswitch is located upstream of the metA and metC genes in Agrobacterium tumefaciens, and other methionine and SAM biosynthesis genes in other alpha-proteobacteria. RNAcentral also lists the same sequence under 1 other name. The record is from Rfam by way of RNAcentral. Lineage: Bacteria; Pseudomonadati; Pseudomonadota; Alphaproteobacteria; Hyphomicrobiales; Aurantimonadaceae.